CCUACGGGGGACAGCAGUGGGGAAUAUUGCACAAUGGGGGAAACCCUGAUGCAGCGACGCCGCGUGAGUGACGAAGUAUUUCGGUAUGUAAAGCUCUAUCAGCAGGGGAGAACCUGACGGUACCUGAAUAAGAAGCCCCGGCUACCUACGUCCCAGCAGCCGCUGUAAUACGUAGGGGGCAAGCGUUACACGGAUGUACUGGGUGGAAAGGGAGCGUAGACGGCAGGACAAGGAUGGAGUGAAAUGCCGGGGCUUAACCCCGGAACUGCUGUUGAAACUGUGCAGCUAGAGUGCAGGAGAGGUAAGUGGAAUGCCUAGUGUAGCGGUGAAAUGCGUAGAUAUGAGGAGGAACACCAGUGGCGAAGGCGGCUUACUGGACUGUAACUGACGUUGAGGCUCGAAAGCGUGGGGAGCAAACAGGAUUAGAUACCCGAGUAGUC
Molecule: ribosomal RNA, 440 nt
Filed under: uncultured bacterium
Lineage: Bacteria
Description: partial 16S ribosomal RNA
Rfam family: Bacterial small subunit ribosomal RNA
Source: RNAcentral